AUUGAACGCUGGCGGCAGGCCUAACACAUGCAAGUCGAACGGUAACAGGAAACAGCUUGCUGUUUCGCUGACGAGUGGCGGACGGGUGAGUAAUGUCUGGGAAACUGCCUGAUGGAGGGGGAUAACUACUGGAAACGGUAGCUAAUACCGCAUAACGUCGCAAGACCAAAGAGGGGGACCUUCGGGCCUCUUGCCAUCGGAUGUGCCCAGAUGGGAUUAGCUAGUAGGUGGGGUAACGGCUCACCUAGGCGACGAUCCCUAGCUGGUCUGAGAGGAUGACCAGCCACACUGGAACUGAGACACGGUCCAGACUCCUACGGGAGGCAGCAGUGGGGAAUAUUGCACAAUGGGCGCAAGCCUGAUGCAGCCAUGCCGCGUGUAUGAAGAAGGCCUUCGGGUUGUAAAGUACUUUCAGCGGGGAGGAAGGGAGUAAAGUUAAUACCUUUGCUCAUUGACGUUACCCGCAGAAGAAGCACCGGCUAACUCCGUGCCAGCAGCCGCGGUAAUACGGAGGGUGCAAGCGUUAAUCGGAAUUACUGGGCGUAAAGCGCACGCAGGCGGUUUGUUAAGUCAGAUGUGAAAUCCCCGGGCUCAACCUGGGAACUGCAUCUGAUACUGGCAAGCUUGAGUCUCGUAGAGGGGGGUAGAAUUCCAGGUGUAGCGGUGAAAUGCGUAGAGAUCUGGAGGAAUACCGGUGGCGAAGGCGGCCCCCUGGACGAAGACUGACGCUCAGGUGCGGAAAGCGUGGGAGCAAACAGG
Molecule: ribosomal RNA, 759 nt
Filed under: uncultured Enterobacteriaceae bacterium
Lineage: Bacteria; Pseudomonadati; Pseudomonadota; Gammaproteobacteria; Enterobacterales; Enterobacteriaceae
Description: bacterial SSU rRNA
Rfam family: Bacterial small subunit ribosomal RNA
Source: RNAcentral